Molecule: ribosomal RNA, 539 nt
Filed under: uncultured bacterium
Lineage: Bacteria
Description: bacterial SSU rRNA
Rfam family: Bacterial small subunit ribosomal RNA
Source: RNAcentral
UACGGGAGGCAGCAGUGGGGAAUAUUGCACAAUGGACGAAAGUCUGAUGCAGCAACGCCGCGUGGAGGAUGACACAUUUCGGUGCGUAAACUCCUUUUAUAUGAGAAGAUAAUGACGGUAUUAUAUGAAUAAGCACCGGCUAACUCCGUGCCAGCAGCCGCGGUAAUACGGGGGGUGCAAGCGUUACUCGGAAUCACUGGGCGUAAAGAGCAUGUAGGCGGAUUAAUAAGUUUGAAGUGAAAUCCUAUAGCUUAACUAUAGAACUGCUUUGAAAACUGUUAAUCUAGAAUGUGGGAGAGGUAGAUGGAAUUUCUGGUGUAGGGGUAAAAUCCGUAGAGAUCAGAAGGAAUACCGAUUGCGAAGGCGAUCUACUGGAACAUUAUUGACGCUGAGAUGCGAAAGCGUGGGGAGCAAACAGGAUUAGAUACCCUGGUAGUCCACGCCCUAAACGAUGUACACUAGUUGUUGUGAGACUUGAUCUUGCAGUAAUGCAGUUAACACAUUAAGUGUACCGCCUGGGGAGUACGGUCGCAAGAUUA